This 588-nucleotide long non-coding RNA is filed under the name Lathyrus oleraceus (garden pea). RNAcentral describes it as "Pisum sativum (pea) long non-coding RNA (PSAT_LNC002259)". The record is from RNAcentral. Lineage: Eukaryota; Viridiplantae; Streptophyta; Magnoliopsida; Fabales; Fabaceae.
CCAGACUCUCUGAUCUUUUCAUUAGUUUUCUAUGUGUAAAACUUCUUAGGCUUUUGUUCGCUUUUUAGUCAAUCCUUUGGAUAAAUAAAAGUGCGGUGGCGACUCGAUUUCUUUGUAUGCUUUGCUUAUGGUUUAAUCAAUAAAUCAUAAAGUGACGAAUACACCGCUACACUCUAGCUUCCAUUUUCUCCUCUUCUUCCCAUUCUUCUUUUCUUCCCUCUGACAUAUUGUUGAGUUGGAUUGGACAUUGUAUUGGACUUCGAGAGUGAUGAAAGGUUGAAGUUGUUGACUGGUGCCUGGAGAGUGAUGAAGCUAUAUGAUUAAUGAGGUUGAAGGUGAGGUUUUGUUGAGGGUGAGAGAAAGUGAUUGGAGAGUUUUUGUGAUUUCUGCAAAAAGAGCUCAACAAUGAUGAUUGAGAGGGUGAGGGUGAAUGUGAUUAAGGGUGAAUGAAUGUGGGUUUGUGAUGAAAUGAUUGAGAGCUAGGGUGAGGAAAUAUGUUUCAACUUUUAAAAAUAAGGUUAAAUAUGUUUGUGGUCCUCCGAAAUAUUUUAAAUUUUAUUUUUAGUCCUUUAAAAUAUUUUUAUAAAG